Molecule: long non-coding RNA, 948 nt
Filed under: Amborella trichopoda
Lineage: Eukaryota; Viridiplantae; Streptophyta; Magnoliopsida; Amborellales; Amborellaceae
Description: long non-coding RNA (ATRI_LNC004868)
Source: RNAcentral
UUGUUGUUAAUUCUUAGGCUUUUGUUUACAUUGACAUAAUCCUUAAGGUGUAGAAAUGAGAGGCAGUUCAUGAUACCAUUAGAUAUCCUCAAAACAUAGUGAAACUUUAAAGUGUACCGUUGAUGCUAUUCCAAUUGAAGUACCAAUGACAUUGAUGUGUGCUCAGAUUAAUUUCCAACCAUAAUCAUUCAAACCAAAGAGAAGUCAUAUCUCCAAAGCAAAAAAUCAAUUCUACACAAGAACUCUGAUAUCCACAACCAACAACAAAUAGAAAAGAGAUACAAUAUCGCAAAAAUAAAUGGUUAGAGAGAGAGAGAGAGAAAGAGAAAGUUUACUUGAGAGAAACUAUCAGCGGCAGUGAAAAUAAGACCAGCGGUUAUGCCCUUAGUGAGAACAGGAUGCCUCUCAAUCAUGCCUAAAUACCACCUUGUGAACCCAUACUUCGGAGAAGAGAUUGAAAUGGAAGGAGAUAGCCCUGAUUCCUUUAGAGUUUUCAACAAACGAGACUGAACAUAAGCACCUGUGUGUCGCUUCACGAAGCUCGAGGCCACGCCAGAGCCAAGGAAAGGGGCAGCAUUUUGAGGAGGGGAGAAGGGGGAAUUGGGUACAUGGCGCCAAUGCCUGGCAUUUCUCAGGAGACGACCUCUCAUGUUCACUCGCAAUAAGACAAGAGAAGAGAGAGAGAGAGAGAGGGUGCCUAAAAGGGUUGGUACCGAUCGAUUUUCUCUGGCUUUUAGCUCCAAGAGAGAGAGUAAGGGGGGAGGGGCAAGAGGGGAAGGAUUUUAGAGAGAGAGUGGGGACGUGUAGGUUUGGAAAAGGUAUAGAAAGAAAGCGAGUGGAAUGUGAAAGUCUAGAGUAAGAAAGCGGCGAAGGUCGGCUUUGCCCUAAACCGCGAAACUUUUCACGUGCCACGUGACUUAAUUUUGCGAGUCACACAUGGUGAAGCUU